RNAcentral lists this long non-coding RNA (598 nucleotides) under Olea europaea (common olive). RNAcentral's name for it is "long non-coding RNA (OEUR_LNC010504)". The record is from RNAcentral. Lineage: Eukaryota; Viridiplantae; Streptophyta; Magnoliopsida; Lamiales; Oleaceae.
AUUGUUAUUACAAGAUUUGAUAUAUUCUCAAACAAAUCUAAUGUGUUUCUAAUGUUAUGAAGAGUAUGUCAGUCAUGCAAUAUAUAUAGGACCUCAAUACAGUGCUUUAAAUGAAAUAGGAAUCAACAAUCACAUCAAAAUCAUGAAAAUGAUCAACAGAUGGAUAUCAAUGCUGCUUGAGAGCCCAGCUCGAGGAAAGCGAGCGGAGCAAGCAACGCUUGAGCACUGCGUCCAUAGCCCUUGGAAACUACAUCUUGGGCUAAAAUUCCUCCAAAGGCUUCCGAUGGGCAAAGCACUUGGGCGUCUUGUCUCUGUCCAAACUCCAUUUUUUAUUUCUUCAAGGACUCUCAAACCAAAACGAGCAAAGGGUAAUGCAACUUUGACUCCUAAUUUCUGAGUUUGCUAUCUACCUUCAAGUAUUUCCCUCAUUUACAUAUACAUUCUUGUGGCUUGCGAUUUUAGCUCGUCUUAUAAUUUCUUCCCGUCUACUGACUUGACCAUCGAAGUGCUCACGGCCGCCUUCCCAACCAUCGAAGAAGGUCACAAGUGACUAACGGUUUGUCCAAGUAUAUAGAAAAGGAGCUUACGUGUGUGCAAG